AUGUUUCCUCUUGUACAUGUGAAUACCUUGCCUAGACCUAUCUCUGAUCAUUCGCCUUCAGUUGUUAAUUUGGCAUUAAAUAUCCCUAAAAUUGUAAAGCCUUUUAAGUUUCUUAGAGAGGAUCUAAGUGAGGUGGCCAGCAAAGUUUGGAAUGCAUUUCAUUUUGAUACAACUAAGUUAGAUAAGUGGCAGAAUAGAGCUAGAGUAGUGAGAAAAAAGUUGAAAGGAUGGAACAUUAACUAUGAAAGUUUUUAUAGAAAACAGAAGAAAAUUUUGGAAACUGCUAUUGAUGAUAUAGACAAAGAGAGUGAAAUUAUGCUUUAUCUGUAG
Molecule: ribosomal RNA, 330 nt
Filed under: Triticum aestivum (bread wheat)
Lineage: Eukaryota; Viridiplantae; Streptophyta; Magnoliopsida; Poales; Poaceae
Description: partial small subunit ribosomal RNA
Source: RNAcentral